This 415-nucleotide ribosomal RNA is filed under the name uncultured bacterium. RNAcentral describes it as "bacterial SSU rRNA". It matches the Rfam family "Bacterial small subunit ribosomal RNA", at positions 355 to 775 of the family's 1533-position model. The record is from RNAcentral.
UGGGGAAUCUUGCACAAUGGGCGAAAGCCUGAUGCAGCGACGCCGCGUGGGGGAUGAAGCAUUUCGGUGUGUAAACCCCUUUCGAUCCGGACGAAACCCCGCAAGGGAUUGACGGUACGGAUAUAAGAAGCCCCGGCUAACUACGUGCCAGCAGCCGCGGUAAGACGUAGGGGGCCAGCGUUGUUCGGAAUUACUGGGUGUAAAGGGUUCGUAGGCGGUGCGGCAAGUUGGGAGUGAAAUCUCUGGGCUUAACCCAGAGGCUGCUUCCAAAACUGCUGUGCUUGAGUGUGGGAGAGGCGCGUGGAAUUGCAGGUGUAGCGGUGAAAUGCGUAGAUAUCUGCAGGAACACCCGUGGCGAAAGCGGCGCGCUGGACCACUACUGACGCUGAGGAACGAAAGCUAGGGGAGCAAACAG